Equus caballus (horse) is the source of this 5956-nucleotide long non-coding RNA. The record is from Ensembl. NCBI's taxonomy places the organism in Eukaryota, Metazoa, Chordata, Mammalia, Perissodactyla, Equidae.
CCUGUUUAUCCUGGGACCGCGCAUCCUGCAGGCACUGACGGCAGAGGAUGUCAGUCACAAACCUGCUCGGAGCCAGCGCACGCCCGUCCCAAGUCAAAAGUCACAGCAGCGGGCCCGGAAAGACAGUUUCCACAGGACGAGUCAAAAAGGCGGCACCUUUUCUGCCCAUCGAGGGAUGAGCCGCCUGUGGUAGGAAAGGAUUUACAACCAGCCUCGUAAACACCGCGAGCCCCGGCGCCUGGCGUGGGGGAAAAGGCCCCUCCCGGGGACCCGGAGGCGUAAACAGCUCGGGUUUCCGCGGGGGAUGGAGCCGCCUGAAAGGCCAGGCUGACGGAAAAACAAAAACCGACAGCCCGACUUCCGAGCCGGAGCCGCAGCUCCUGGGGAGGGAGGCCCCGCGCGCGCAGAGGGGUCGGGCCGGCGGCGCCGCGCCUCGUGUGCGCCCCGCGGAUGCGCGGCUGCCGGAGCGCGCGGACGGGGCGCGCGUUGCAGGUGGUGAUUCUCGCCGAAAGCAUUCUAGCCUCUGGGACCCGGCAAUGAUUCUGGCUGCACACUUGUCCCCAGACAGGCUUCCAGAUUUAGGACAUUGUAUUUGGGUUUUUUUCCCCUUGCUCCUUCGAGUUUAUUCGAGCUUUGCCUUCCCUUCCUGCUUCUCUCCUUUAAUGUGCCUCCCAGCUAAGGCGGGAGCUGUGGGUCCCAGACCGGGGAUUCGGCACCAUCUAGUGGCCAGCGGAGAGGUGUCGGCUCGCUGAAACUGCCUGGGAAUAAUAACAACUAGGCGUAGAUCCAGGUCGUUCAGCAUGAGUUUAAAUAACAAAGAUCAACAGAACAGAACAAAAACACUGACAACAACAACAAAGGACACAGUGAGCGCUCGGCGUCAGAUUAAUACCGAGGACAUGGGGGGCCCUGCAGCCAGGCCCAACGAGGCCAGGUCUUCCAUUCUUUCCUGGCCCUGCUUUAAAAGAAGCUGUGAGUGGGAGGCCUGGGCUUGACCCAAGGAGGUUUGCACCAUUCUGCAGACCCCCGUUUCUCUCCUGCCUACCGUCUGCUCCAGAGCAGAACUUUUCCACGACUCUGCUGUCUGUUGGAGAGUGGCUUUCCGGCGCACUCCGGCCGUCAUCAGUCAUGGGUGCUUGUGCAGUGUGGGGAGAGGGUGGGUCAGACGCACCCCUGAUGGCCUGGUUCUUAAAUCUGCCAGGUCCAUCCUCAGGAGACUGAGUCAGUAGGUCUGAGAGGAGCCCGGAAACUCGCUUUUUUAACCACCUGCCAAGUGAUUGUGACACAGGAGAGGAAAGAUAUUUACUGCAAACAUAAAGCAAGAGGACAAUUUGCAAGAGCUGCUGAGGGGAAUCUGAGAGAGCCCAGCCUUUGCGUCCUGUGGUGCACCGGGAUUUCAGAAGCCAGGAGACAUGGAGGAAACAUCCCUCGCAAUUCUCCUUCCAGUCAUCCCUGUGCUUUCAUAGAACAGUGGAAAACCAUGCUCCUGAGUGCACAUGGCGAGAUCUGAAGAAGGUCCUGGGAGGAAAGGCGUCGCGAAAUCUUAUUAAAACUGGUUAGGGUCCCACGGAUAGCCUGCAACAGAUCGUAGUUCUGAGGGUUUCCAUAAAAAGGUAUUCAUUUUCAGGUUGAAUGAAGCUGGCACAGACAGGAAGCUGAUGAAGCGCUCCCACGUCCAGUGGUCAUAUGAGUGUGGGCCCCCUGCCGCCAAUGGGUGGCUCUGGGGAAGAGUUUCUCUGAGUCUUAAUUUCCUCAUUUGCAACAUGGGAGAAAGAUAACAGUUCUUUCCCCGUUGGAUUGUUGGGAGGCUCAUGUGACAUGACACAUGACAAAUGCUCGAUAAAUGUUUGCUAUUAUGACCUGAGAAAAGUAUAAUUCAUUCAAAGAAGUCCAAGGAAAUCCAGGUAAAUUUUAAGCCAGUAUAUUUUUCUGUGAAUGGGAAACUAUCAUCUUUAGGCUAAAAAAAAAAAGAACUAUGUUAUUUUUCUUUUUUGGUUUGGUUUUUCCUUAAAAAAAAAAAUAGAAAAAGCAAAAAAACUGUCCCCAAACGUAAGCAAGCAAAUGAACUAAAGGAAAUUUACAACCAUGGGGAGUCAUGAAAUUGCAAGGCGUCCCUGGGGACGAGUGGAAGCCCAUUGCUCCAUUGCUCCAGCCCAUGGAAUCAUUCAGGAAUGUCCUCCCCGGGACUGGACAGAAUGAUGCAGGCCGAUUUUCCAUCUGAGAUGUGUGCAGUGCUGUGAGGAUGGUUCCCACUGGCCACUGACCAAUCUGAGGCCUGUGACUAGGUGACUGCUUUCUUUCCAUGUGGAAAAACCACUUUUAAUGGGAGAAAUCAGGGUGGUGGAAUCUUUCGCGUCUCAUGAUGGUCAGAAGCAUUUCCUAGUUCUUCUCUCCGGAUUCCGACCACCAGAAGGCAUUGACCUUGUUGAAAGCAUGAAAGUCCAUCUGCUAUAACUAGAAUUUUCCCCAACCGCAGCCCUUUGACUCAAGUUGGGAGGCACUGUUAUGUGGAUGCUGCUCAUCCUUCCUGGGGCUGCUGCUCAGGGAAUGAAUAGAAAUUGGCUUUUGCACAGGCAACUGUUGAAAGAGCACUGGAUUCCGUCAGAGAAUCUGAUCUUAAAUGCUAAGGGCCAUUUACAAAUUGUGUGAUCUUGAGAAAUUCUUCCUUUUCAGCUUCUGUGUAUUUAUCUGUAAAAUGAGGUAAUAAAAACUAACAGGGCUACCAAGAAGAAUAAAACCGAGGAAUAUGAGGUUCUAUUAUCCAGCUCGAUGCAUAAGUAUUAGUUGAAUAUGAGUAUGUGGGAGGGGAUGGGGUUGACAUGUUGAUAAGCUUAAGACUACCAAGGGAUUGUGGAAACCAUAAGGACAAACUUAGAAUGUUCGUAAAUAUAGGUCAAAUACUUCCAUUUACUCAGUAAGCUAGGUCAGCGCAGGGCAGCAUUGUCAGCAUGGAUACAGGAGAAGUUAGUCUAUUUCCUAGAGACUUCCAGAAAAGUCUCCAAAACUUUAGAUGCCUGUUACUUUUUAAGAAUGGUGGCCUCAACAGGCUUUCCCUCCAACAUAGCUGCUAUGGAUUGAACCAUGUGCGUUGGAAGAAAAACAGGAGAUGUGCAGCAUGAGGGUCAGAGGACUGGGCCAAUGGCAGGCACACACAGACCAGGCUAGCAGGGGAAGGUCGACUGAGUUCCAGUCUAUUUGGUGCAAGUUUCCGCCUGAUACAGGCGCACUAUAUUGGAUGGCAGCAAGUAACCCCAUGGAGUCCUCUCACUGGGGAUGUGUAAAAUGCAGGGGAACCCUGAGAAGGGGGUGCCCUUGAGUUAAACUGGAUUCUGGGCUGUGGGGAACCUCUGCCCUGCUUCCACGUACAUCUGGCUGUGCUCCCCGUUCUCAGAAACCGAGAGACCCUGAAUCCUCUGUGGCUGACCUUCCAAUGACCUGUUCCAGAUGGUGACGUCUGCAUAUCUGUUCCUUGCAGCCUUUACGACUCAGAUCAAUACAUUCUUGUAACCGUAGGUCCUAGGCAAGACAAACAGCUUUUGUUUUAAAGCAUCAGAUGUUGGAUUCCAGCCACUAGACCACCAGGGAACCUAAAGCAAUCAGAUAUUGGAGACACCAGUUAAAAAAUAGACAUUCAAUAUAGUGCAUAGGAGGGAGGUAGAGUUUUGAGAAAUGAGAGAGCAAGACGGCAGGAAAGCCAGCGUUUUCUUGUUGAAAUGAGGCUGGCAUGACCGCCAUGACACUCCUGGGCUACGAUUUCCUGCUCUGCCAUGUGGCUGGGGAGGUGGAAGAGCAGAGAGCCUCCAGCAGAGCAGAAUUCCAGGGACUCUGACCGCCCUGAGGAUCAAGAGCUGUCGGACGACGGCUGAUGAAGGCUUUCCAUGAAAAGCCUGCAGAGGAGUCAGAAAGACUCACUGCUGCGAGUUUGAGAGUGACUUUGAAGGGGUGUUUUGGUCAAGUCUGAGGAGGGAACAGUGGUUGGAUGGAGGAAAUGCUUAGUAUUGGAUGGUAAUGGAAGACUGUUGAGAAGGGUUUCUAAUUGCGUGGAAGUAUAUAUAUACUUAAAAAUGUAAGUCCUGAUUGUAUUUCACGUCCAUCGGGGUAAACACUGGCACAGAGGGGAGACAACGUGAAGACACCCAGGAAGAUGCCACGUGAAGACAGAGGAUUGGAGAUUGGCAUCGACAAGCCAGGGAAUGCCCAAGCUCCCCAGCGAACAACCAGGAGCUGAGAAGACGCCAGAGAGGAUCCCACCAGGGUUUCAGAGGGAGCUCAGCCCUGCCCACACCUUGAUCUUGGACUUCCAGCCUCCAGGACCGGGAGACAAUGCAUUUCUGUUCUAAGCCACCUAGUCUGUGGUGCUUUGUGACGGCUGUCCUAGGAAGCACACACAGGUGUGGAUAAGGAGGUUUAGCUAAUGAGGAAUUCUAACUCCUUAGAGAAUGAACUGAAGUGGAGAAGUUGAGAUUCUCUUAGGUCCAAUUCAUCAUUCUCUGGGUAGCAAAAUUGAUGGGCCAAAGAGAAACCCACUGCCAAAGGCAGUUAAUUCUAUUUUCAGGUGAAGUUCCUAAAAAUCGAUAAGCAUAUGAAAGCUGGCUAUGCACACCAACAUCUAUAAAGUAGCAGGAUUCACACACGCAUAAUUUUCUAGAUGAACUAAAACAGGUGAAUUAGAAAAUUACUGUUUACUUUCAAAAUGUAUAGAAUACCUUUAAAUAGUAAGAUUGCUAUUGAAUUUGAGAUUACUUUUUUACUAAUAGUAUUUUAUUUUAUAUGAAUAUUUGAGUUGCAUGUCUGUUAUGUAAAGUGCUGGAUAUCAAUGGUUCACUUCAGUGCGAAUUUGUUAUAAAACCAUCAAAUGUACCUGAUGAGUGUUUCACCUGCUCUCAUCUACAGAAAAAAACAAUUUACUCACAUGUUCUACUCUAAACUUUCCUGUAUCUGUCUAUUAAGAUUGUCUCCCUAAGUGUUAAUCUCGGGAAAAAUGUAAUUGGUCUAGUUCCAGUUAUUAUGAAAACCAAUAAUCAUAAAAUUUCAUUUUUAAAAGGAUUUGAUACAGACUGAGAAGAAGUUAUAUUAGGAUAGGCAAUAGGCUGCAUAAACUUCCCAGGUUGACUCCUUUCCAAUAAGUCACACAGAACAGAACACUUUACUGCUCAAUUAGGACUUUUUCUAUGAAAAUAGAAUCCUUGUGCUAGAUCAGAAUUUACCAAGGCAGAUUAGAAGCCCCUUAGAAAUGCCCAAAGGAUGCCUUGCACAGGCUCUGAAAUGGUUUCAUACCAGGAACAAAAUUGACCAAGAUGCAUCCAUUGCUAUUUAAUCUUCUCAAGCAGACUGAGGAGACUCAAACUUGUCUGUUCUUUUCUUAACUGUGUCUGUGCUGAGAAAAAAGUUGAAAUAGAAGAUUAUCAGGCCAGAUGUCUGCUCCUUCCACCCCAGUCAUGUUCUGAUGACAAUUAGCAAACACUAGGAGUGAUGUUGGGGGGCCCAUCCAUACUCUGUCUGCUUUGGGACAUUGAUAAAGUUGUGAGUCUGUUCAGAUGCGCACCUGACAUUCAUCCAUCAGCCACUCAUCCAUCCUUUCAUUCAUUCAUUCAACUGGCAUUUCUUAAGCAGCUUCUCUGUUGUGCUUGAUACUACAUUUCCAUCAGAUCAUUUCUUUUGCUUCUUCAUUGUGCAAAGAAUAGAUUAGACUUUAAGCCACAGCAGAGGCUGUUAAAUGGUUCAUUUCUUUAGUGCUCCCAAAACAAGUAGUGUAAGUUAUCUCGUUCAAUUACCUUAAUAAUUGUUACUGUUUUCUCUCCAUUGUUUUAUUUUAUUUUAUUUUCCAACAACUUUAUUGACAUAAAAAUUGUAUAUAUUUAAGGUGCACAACUUGAUGUUAUAGUAUAGAUGCAUUGUGAGAAGACCAUUACAAUCAAGCUAAAUAACUUAUCCGUCACCUCUGCGCAGUUAGCAU